UGACAUGCUGAGAACUUUCCGAGAGAUGAUGUGCCUUCGGGAACGUCAGACACAGGUGCUGCAUGGCUGUCGUCAGCUCGUGUCGUGAGAUGUUGGGUUAAGUCCCGUAACGAGCGCAACCCUUGUCCUUAGUUACCAGCACGUAAUGGUGGGCACUCUAAGGAGACUGCCGGUGACAAACCGGAGGAAGGUGGGGAUGACGUCAAGUCCUCAUGGCCCUUAUGGGUAGGGCUUCACACGUCAUACAAUGGUCGGUACAGAGGGUUGCCAACCCGCGAGGGGGAGCUAAUCCCACAAAGCCGAUCGUAGUCCGGAUCGCAGUCUGCAACUCGACUGCGUGAAGUCGGAAUCGCUAGUAAUCGUGGAUCAGCAUGCCACGGUGAAUACGUUCCCGGGUCUU
This 400-nucleotide ribosomal RNA is filed under the name uncultured Pseudomonadaceae bacterium. RNAcentral describes it as "bacterial SSU rRNA". It matches the Rfam family "Bacterial small subunit ribosomal RNA", at positions 982 to 1382 of the family's 1533-position model. Lineage: Bacteria; Pseudomonadati; Pseudomonadota; Gammaproteobacteria; Pseudomonadales; Pseudomonadaceae. The record is from RNAcentral.